ACGGGACCGCACAAGCGGUGGAUGAUGUGGUUUAAUUCGAUGCAACGCGAAAACCUUACCACCUUUGACAUGUACGGAAUCCUUUAGAGAUAGAGGAGUGCUCGAAAGAGAGCCGUAACACAGGUGCUGCAUGGCUGUCGUCAGCUCGUGUCGUGAGAUGUUGGGUUAAGUCCCGCAACGAGCGCAACCCUUGUCAUUAGUUGCUACAUUCAGUUGGGCACUCUAAUGAGACUGCCGGUGACAAACCGGAGGAAGGUGGGGAUGACGUCAAGUCCUCAUGGCCCUUAUAGGUGGGGCUACACACGUCAUACAAUGGCCGGUACAGAGGGUAGCCAACCCGCGAGGGGGAGCCAAUCCCACAAAGCCGGUCGUAGUCCGGAUCGCAGUCUGCAACUCGACUGCGUGAAGUCGGAAUCGCUAGUAAUCGCGGAUCAGCAUGUCGCGGUGAAUACGUUCCCGGGUCUU
Molecule: ribosomal RNA, 465 nt
Filed under: uncultured Acidovorax sp.
Lineage: Bacteria; Pseudomonadati; Pseudomonadota; Betaproteobacteria; Burkholderiales; Comamonadaceae
Description: bacterial SSU rRNA
Rfam family: Bacterial small subunit ribosomal RNA
Source: RNAcentral